UUCAGCAGGCUGAGUGAAAAAUAGACCCGCCAGCUGCCAACCCGCACCCUUCAGAGCACUCCUGCAGGCGGAGCGGUGCUGACCACCCCUCCUUACUACCUGGACUUCAAUUACCAGCAGGGCCAGGGCCAGGUGCACCUAGGGGUGGGCCUGAGGGUCCUAGCAUCUGAGGGUCAAAGACCCCUGGGCCUCCCUUGCCGUUGCUGUGCCGGUCCUGUGCUUCCUUCACCCUCCUGGGACGUGUGUGAUGACACGCGGUCUAGACACCAUUUGUUUUCACAUUCACCGCACACCGGUUGGAAAGUUCGCUGCUGUGUGGUCAUUUACAUAGAGAUGCUUUGCUACCGAGUCCUACCCUCUUGGCAACAGGUGUGUUUGCUUGGAGAUUAAAAGAGCUGAUGGACGACUCUCUCCAAACACGGGUCAUAUCAUCUUAAGUGUCAGUCAUACAUGAAGACGGGAGAUCUGCUUUGAUCUCAGCUGCUGAAGUCAUCACACUGCACUGCUAAUAGAGACUCAGCGAUGAUGUAAAAACUCUGAAGUGUUGGUAUCUAGAUAAAGCAAUUCAAUGGAAAGUCCAGUUACUAGCCCCUUUGUCAAUGCCUGCAUCUCUGUCCCCACGGAGGCCAUGGACACGUGUUCCCGUGUAUAGAACGAGGACAAGGAAAGGUCCAAAGCUCAUCCUGAAGCUGGGAAACAGACCUGAAACCCAAGGACACCUCGUACAGUUUUCCAUCAAGACAGCAGGGGAACCAAGAAUCCUCACUUAACUUAAGCACUGCAGAAAGAACAGGCAAUGAAUGUGUCGGUGGAAAUGCAGUUGAGGAAUUGCACUUGGUCUCAUUUUUCAGCUUAAUGUCCCUGCUCUUUCAUCGUGAAGAUCAGCCGCAUUGUUAUUUUUCC
Molecule: long non-coding RNA, 903 nt
Organism: Fukomys damarensis (Damara mole-rat)
Lineage: Eukaryota; Metazoa; Chordata; Mammalia; Rodentia; Bathyergidae
Exons: 4
Source: RefSeq, a predicted model, not a curated record